AGCAUGUGGGUUAAUCGGAUGAUACGCCGAGAACCUUACCAGGGCUUGACAUGGCCGGGACAGCCUACGAAAGUAGGUCUCCUCAGCAAUGAGGCCGGGUCACAGGUGGUGCAUGGUUGUCGUCAGCUCGUGUCGUGAGAUGUUGGGUUAAGUCCCGCAACGAGCCGCAACCCUCGUCGGAUGUUGCCAGCAGUUCGGCUGGGCACUCUUCCGAGACUGCCCGAGCAAUCGGGAGGAAGGAGAGGACGACGUCAAAUCGGCAUGCCCCUUACGGCCUGGGCGACACACGUGCUACAAUGCCCACUACAAAGCGAGGCCACCCGGCAACGGGGAGCUAAUCGCAAAAAGGUGGGCCCAGUUCGGAUUGGGGUCUGCAACCCGACCCCAUGAAGCCGGAAUCGCUAGUAAUCGCGGAUCAGCCAUGCCGCGGUGAAUACGUUCCCGGGCCUU
This 450-nucleotide ribosomal RNA is filed under the name uncultured Thermus sp. RNAcentral's name for it is "bacterial SSU rRNA". It matches the Rfam family "Bacterial small subunit ribosomal RNA", at positions 936 to 1382 of the family's 1533-position model. The record is from RNAcentral. Lineage: Bacteria; Thermotogati; Deinococcota; Deinococci; Thermales; Thermaceae.